RNAcentral lists this ribosomal RNA (516 nucleotides) under uncultured bacterium. RNAcentral's name for it is "partial 16S ribosomal RNA". It matches the Rfam family "Bacterial small subunit ribosomal RNA", at positions 28 to 523 of the family's 1533-position model. The record is from RNAcentral.
GAUGAACGCUGGCGGCGUGCCUAAUACAUGCAAGUCGAACGCAUUGAGAAAAGUGCUUGCACUUUUCAAUUUGAGUGGCGAACGGGUGAGUAACACGUGGGCAACCUACCUGAUAGCGGGGGAUAACGAGUGGAAACAUUCGCUAAUACCGCAUAACAAUAGAGAAGGCAUCUUCUUUAUUUAAAAGGCGCUUUCAAGCGUCACUAUCAGAUGGGCCCGCGGUGCAUUAGUUAGUUGGUGGGGUGAAGGCCUACCAAGACGAUGAUGCAUAGCCGAGUGUGGAGACUGAUCGGCCACAUUGGGACGGACACACGGCCCAAACUCCUACGGGAGGCUGCAGUAGGGAAUCUUCCACAAUGGACGAAAGUCUGAUGGAGCAACGCCGCGUGUGUGAUGAAGGCUUUCGGGUCGUAAAGCACUGUUGUAUGGGAAGAAAUGCUAGGCUAGGAAAUGAGCUUAGUUUGACGGUACCAUACCAGAAAGGGACGGCUAAAUACGUGCCAGCCGCCGCCGUAA